RNAcentral lists this transfer RNA (68 nucleotides) under Schedorhinotermes putorius. RNAcentral's name for it is "tRNA-Phe". Lineage: Eukaryota; Metazoa; Arthropoda; Insecta; Blattodea; Rhinotermitidae. The record is from RNAcentral.
ACUUAAAUAGCUUAUGUUUAUAGAGCGUGACACUGAAGAUGUUAAUGAGGUUAUUUUACCUUUAAGUA